UUGUCUCAAAGAUUAAGCCAUGCAUGUCUCAGUACAAGCCAAAUUAAGGUGAAACCGCGAAAGGCUCAUUAAAUCAGUUAUGGUUCCUUAGAUCGUACCCCACAUUUACUUGGAUAACUGUGGUAAUUCUAGAGCUAAUACAUGCAAACAGAGUUCCGACCGGAGACGGAAGGAACGGUUUUAUUAGAUCAAAACCAAUCGGCAUUGAACACUACUACUUAUUGUAGUUAGUUGCCUUUGUCGUACAUGUUGGUGAAUCUGAAUAACUUUUUCCUGAUCGCACGGUCUCGCACCGGCGACGCAUCUUUCAAAUGUCUGCCUUAUCAACUGUCGAUGGUAGGUUCUGUGCCUACCAUGGUUGUAACGGGUAACGGGGAAUCAGGGUUCGAUUCCGGAGAGGGAGCCUGAGAAACGGCUACCACAUCCAAGGAAGGCAGCAGGCGCGCAAAUUACCCACUCCCGGCACGGGGAGGUAGUGACGAAAAAUAACGAUACGGGACUCAUCCGAGGCCCCGUAAUCGGAAUGAGUACACUCUAAAUCCUUUAACGAGUAUCAAUUGGAGGGCAAGUCUGGUGCCAGCAGCUGCGGUAAUUCCAGCUCCAAUAGCGUAUAUUAAAGUUGUUGCGGUUAAAAAGCUCGUAGUCGAAUCUGUGUCCCGUGCCGCCGGUUCAUCGUUCGCGGUGUUAACUGGCGUGUUCGCGGGACGUCCUGCCGGUGGGCUUAGUCGAAACGGGCAAUAUGUAUGUUGGUCAGUUACGUUAAUCCGUUCUGUCCUCGUAUGUAUUCUCGCUAGGCGGCCCAACUUGAAAUCCCGCCGCGGUGCUCUUUACUGAGUGUCGAGGCGGGCCGGCACGUUUACUUUGAACAAAUUAGAGUGCUUAAAGCAGGCUAAAUUUUGCCUGAAUACUGUGUGCAUGGAAUAAUGGAAUAGGACCUCGGUUCUAUUUUGUUGGUUUUCGGAACCCCGAGGUAAUGAUUAAUAGGAACGGAUGGGGGCAUUCGUAUUGCGACGUUAGAGGUGAAAUUCUUGGAUCGUCGCAAGACGGACAGAAGCGAAAGCAUUUGCCAAAAACGCUUUCUAACCAUAAACGAUGCCAGCUAGCGAUCCGCCGACGUUCCUCCGAUGACACGGCGGGCAGCUUCCGGGAAACCAAAGCUUUUGGGUUCCGGGGGAAGUAUGGUUGCAAAGCUGAAACUUAAAGGAAUUGACGGAAGGGCACCACCAGGAGUGGAGCCUGCGGCUUAAUUUGACUCAACACGGGAAACCUCACCAGGCCCGGACACCGGAAGGAUUGACAGAUUGACAGCUCUUUCUUGAUUCGGUGGGUGGUGGUGCAUGGUCGUUCUUAGUUGGUGGAGCGAUUUGUCUGGUUAAUUCCGAUAACGAACGAGACUCUACCCUGCUAAAUAGGCGUAUUUCCGACAUCUCGAAGGCUCGCCGGGCCGACUUUUCUUCACUUCCCUUUCCAAGGGUUGGGUUGAGGUUGUGUUCGUGCGCGGUUUUUACUGUCGGCGUAUAAACAAAUCUUCUUAGAGGGACAGGCGGCUUCUAGCCGCACGAGAUUGAGCAAUAACAGGUCUGUGAUGCCCUUAGAUGUUCUGGGCCGCACGCGCGCUACACUGAAGGAAUCAGCGUGUCCUCCCUGACCGAGAGGUCCGGGAAACCCGCUGAACCUCCUUCGUGCUAGGGAUUGGGGCUUGCAAUUGUUCCCCAUGAACGAGGAAUUCCCAGUAAACGCGAGUCAUAAGCUCGCGUUGAUUACGUCCCUGCCCUUUGUACACACCGCCCGUCGCUACUACCGAUUGAAUGAUUUAGUGAGGUCUUCGGACCGGUACGCGGUGGCGUUUCGACGUUACCGAUGCUGCUGGGAAGAUGACCAAACUUGAUCAUUU
This 1894-nucleotide ribosomal RNA is filed under the name Eucnemidae sp. UPOL 001332. RNAcentral describes it as "SSU rRNA". It matches the Rfam family "Eukaryotic small subunit ribosomal RNA". The record is from RNAcentral. Lineage: Eukaryota; Metazoa; Arthropoda; Insecta; Coleoptera; Eucnemidae.